Molecule: ribosomal RNA, 253 nt
Filed under: uncultured prokaryote
Description: partial 16S ribosomal RNA
Rfam family: Bacterial small subunit ribosomal RNA
Source: RNAcentral
GACGUAGGAGGCGAGCGUUAUCCGGAUUCACUGGGCGUAAAGGGCAUGUAGGCGGUUCGAUCAGUCGUGUGUUAAAGCCCCCGGCUCAACUGGGGGAGGUCAUGCGAGACUAUUGGACUUGAGGGCAGCAGAGGAGCGUGGAACUCCCGGUGUAGCGGUGGAAUGCGUAGAUAUCGGGAAGAACACCAGUGGCGAAGGCGACGCUCUGGGCUGUCACUGACGCUGAAAUGCGAAAGUGUGGGGAGCAAACGGG